RNAcentral lists this ribosomal RNA (649 nucleotides) under uncultured bacterium. Its description in RNAcentral is "bacterial SSU rRNA". It matches the Rfam family "Bacterial small subunit ribosomal RNA", at positions 8 to 650 of the family's 1533-position model. The record is from RNAcentral.
AGAGUUUGAUCCUGGCUCAGAUUGAACGCUGGCGGCAUGCCUUACACAUGCAAGUCGAACGGCAGCACGGGAGCAAUCCUGGUGGCGAGUGGCGAACGGGUGAGUAAUAUAUCGGAACGUGCCCAGUCGUGGGGGAUAACGCAGCGAAAGCUGUGCUAAUACCGCAUACGAUCUCUGGAUGAAAGCGGGGGACUCGUAAGAGCCUCGCGCGAUUGGAACGGCCGAUAUCAGAUUAGCUAGUUGGUGGGGUAAAGGCCCACCAAGGCGACGAUCUGUAGCUGGUCUGAGAGGACGACCAGCCACACUGGAACUGAGACACGGUCCAGACUCCUACGGGAGGCAGCAGUGGGGAAUUUUGGACAAUGGGCGCAAGCCUGAUCCAGCAAUGCCGCGUGCAGGAUGAAGGCCUUCGGGUUGUAAACUGCUUUUGUACGGAACGAAAAGGUCUGCCUUAAUACGGUGGGCCCAUGACGGUACCGUAAGAAUAAGCACCGGCUAACUACGUGCCAGCAGCCGCGGUAAUACGUAGGGUGCGAGCGUUAAUCGGAAUUACUGGGCGUAAAGCGUGCGCAGGCGGUUAUAUAAGACAGAUGUGAAAUCCCCGGGCUCAACCUGNGACCUGCAUUUGUGACUGUAUGGCUAGAGUACG